This 246-nucleotide long non-coding RNA is filed under the name Lactuca sativa (garden lettuce). RNAcentral's name for it is "long non-coding RNA (LSAT_LNC004629)". The record is from RNAcentral. Lineage: Eukaryota; Viridiplantae; Streptophyta; Magnoliopsida; Asterales; Asteraceae.
UGACCAGCUGGCUUCUGAGGGCGGUGAAUCUUGAAGAAUCGCUUUUUGCAGCGGCGGCGCGUGGCGGUGGUGGUAAGGCGGUGAGAUGUACGUGAAGUUUCAUGCCGCCGUAGCAGGAGCCUUUGCUGCUCAUGAAGUAGCGGUCGUGGGUGACGUUGAGUGCCACCACGUCUCUUCCGGCGCCGGUGGUGUAAUUGUGAACAGGGUGCUCGGCGUUGCACGUCUCAUAGUUCGUCUUGUUCACUU